AAAUCUCAGUUCAGACUGCAGGCUGCAACUCGCCUGCACGAAGUCGGAAUUGCUAGUAAUCGUAGGUCAGCAUACUACGGUGAAUACGUUCCCGGGCCUUGUACACACCGCCCGUCAAACCAUGAGAGUUGGCAACACCCGAAGUCGGUAGUCUAACCGCAAGGAGGACGCCGCCGAAGGUGGGGUUGAUGAUUAGGGUUAAGUCGUAACAAGGUAUC
RNAcentral lists this ribosomal RNA (218 nucleotides) under uncultured bacterium. RNAcentral's name for it is "partial 16S ribosomal RNA". It matches the Rfam family "Bacterial small subunit ribosomal RNA", at positions 1283 to 1500 of the family's 1533-position model. The record is from RNAcentral.